UCACUGGACGGGGAGCGAGGCGGCGAGCA
This 29-nucleotide small RNA is filed under the name Bombyx mori (domestic silkworm). Its description in RNAcentral is "ovarian small RNA-25445". The record is from RNAcentral. Lineage: Eukaryota; Metazoa; Arthropoda; Insecta; Lepidoptera; Bombycidae.